Molecule: ribosomal RNA, 468 nt
Filed under: uncultured bacterium
Lineage: Bacteria
Description: partial 16S ribosomal RNA
Rfam family: Bacterial small subunit ribosomal RNA
Source: RNAcentral
GACGAACGCUGGCGGCGUGCUUAACACAUGCAAGUCGAACGGAAAGGCCCUGCUUUUGUGGGGUGCUCGAGUGGCGAACGGGUGAGUAACACGUGAGUAACCUGCCCUUGACUUUGGGAUAACUUCAGGAAACUGGGGCUAAUACCGGAUAGGAGCUCCUGCUGCAUGGUGGGGGUUGGAAAGUUUCGGCGGUUGGGGAUGGACUCGCGGCUUAUCAGCUUGUUGGUGGGGUAGUGGCUUACCAAGGCUUUGACGGGUAGCCGGCCUGAGAGGGUGACCGGCCACAUUGGGACUGAGAGACGGCCCAGACUCCUACGGGAGGCAGCAGUGGGGAAUAUUGCACAAUGGGCGGAAGCCUGAUGAAGCAACGCCGCGUGCGGGAUGACGGCCUUCGGGUUGUAAACCGCUUUCGCCUGUGACGAAGCGUGAGUGACGGUAAUGGGUAAAGAAGCACCGGCUAACUACGUG